RNAcentral lists this ribosomal RNA (459 nucleotides) under uncultured bacterium. Its description in RNAcentral is "partial 16S ribosomal RNA". It matches the Rfam family "Bacterial small subunit ribosomal RNA", at positions 338 to 795 of the family's 1533-position model. The record is from RNAcentral.
CCUACGGGAGGCUGCAGUGAGGAAUAUUGGUCAAUGGGCGGGAGCCUGAACCAGCCAAGUCGCGUGAGGGACGACGGUCCUAUGGAUUGUAAACCUCUUUUGUCGGGGAACAAAGGCGCCCACGGGUGGGCGGAUGAGUGUACCCGAAGAAAAAGCAUCGGCGAACUCCGUGCCAGCAGCCGCGGUAAUACGGAGGAUGCGAGCGUUAUCCGGCUUUAUUGGGUUUAAAGGGUGCGUAGGCGGAAGGUCAAGUCAGCGGUAAAAAUGCGGUGCUCAACGCCGGCCUGCCGUCGGAACUGGGUGCUUUGAGUGGGCGAGAAGUAUGCGGAAUGCGUGGUGUAGCGGUGAAAGGCAUAGAUAUCACGCAGAACCCCGAUGGCGAAGGCAGCAUACCGGCGCCCUACUGACGCUGAGGCACGAAAGUGCGGGUAUCGAACAGGAUUAGAUACCCGGGUAGUC